RNAcentral lists this ribosomal RNA (322 nucleotides) under uncultured Armatimonadota bacterium. Its description in RNAcentral is "bacterial SSU rRNA". It matches the Rfam family "Bacterial small subunit ribosomal RNA", at positions 1 to 337 of the family's 1533-position model. Lineage: Bacteria; Bacillati; Armatimonadota. The record is from RNAcentral.
AGCUGAGUUUGAUCCUGGCUCAGGACGAACGCUUGCGGCGUGCCUAAGAAAUGCAAGUCGAACGGGGGCUUCGGCCCCAGUGGCGAACGGUCGCGUAACACGUAAGCAACCGUGCCCUGAAGUGGGGGACAACAUCCCGAAAGGGGUGCUAAUACCGCAUGUGGUCACGAGUCGGCAUCGACUUGUGUCUAAAGAUUUAUCGCUUCAGGAUGGGCUUGCGGCCUAUCAGGUAGUUGGUGGGGUAAUGGCCUACCAAGCCGACGACGGGUAGCUGGUCUGAGAGGACGAUCAGCCGGAUUGGGACUGAGAUACGGCCCAGACU